CUCUAAUUAGUAAUCUAUUAAGUCCAAAAUAUAAUAAAUACAUCAAAUAAAUUGAAUGAGGUUUAAUACCAAGUCCCAAACCAACAACAAUUUCAAACAAACUAUUAAUUUUAAAUAAUAUAAGAGGGGAUUCAGCAAGCAUUGACCAGAUAUGAAGGCUAUGAAGCAUUUUCUGUGCACAACAAUCAGCAAGCAUUGACCAGAUAUUUACGACAAAAUUCACAAUAUAAAAGAGGGGAUUCAUUGAAGCCAAUUACCAAGCACCUUGUGUGCAACAACCAUCAACAAGCAUUAGCCAUAUAUUUAGGACAAAUUCAUAAUAUAAAACAGGGGAUUGAGAAUUAUGGUACUUGAAUUAAUAAACUGAUGCACAUAAGAAAGACAAAGGGAGAAAAAUAUGGGGAAAAUAAACAAUCACCUGUGAUAUUGGGGCUUCAAGUCUUCAAUGCUACAAAUGUUAUAGAGUUAAGGUUUUGGCUCAGUUUAAUGAUCCUUUGAUAAUUAUUUUGGGACAAUUUGUAGUGAUCAUAUCACUCUGUUAGAGAGGGAGAGAGAAACAUAUGAAGAUGAAGGUGGGACUGUUGAAUAUAGGGCUUCACUCGGGCUACAGCCCACCCCAGCCAAGUGUGGCUCUGCCAGU
This 640-nucleotide long non-coding RNA is filed under the name Panax ginseng (ginseng). Its description in RNAcentral is "long non-coding RNA (PGIN_LNC013841)". The record is from RNAcentral. Lineage: Eukaryota; Viridiplantae; Streptophyta; Magnoliopsida; Apiales; Araliaceae.